CAACCUCAACUCAUAUGGGACUACCCCCUGAAUUUAAGCAUAUUAAUUAGGGGAGGAAAAGAAACUAACAAGGAUUUUCUUAGUAGCGGCGAGCGAAAAGAAAUCAGUUCAGCACUAAGUCACUUUGUCUAUAUGGCAAAUGUGAGAUGCAGUGUACGGAACAUCAACAUUCUAGUAUGAGAAGUUAACGAUUUAAGUCCUUCUUAAAUGAGGCCAUUUACCCAUAGAGGGUGCCAGGCCC
Molecule: non-coding RNA, 241 nt
Filed under: Drosophila virilis
Lineage: Eukaryota; Metazoa; Arthropoda; Insecta; Diptera; Drosophilidae
Description: Eukaryotic large subunit ribosomal RNA
Rfam family: Eukaryotic large subunit ribosomal RNA
Source: Rfam by way of RNAcentral